CCCAGGGAGCUCUGAUUGUGUUUAUACUCCUACAGUCACAGCGAGGGAUUUUCUCCAUCUGGGGUUUGAUUUGAAGGAGUUUCAGAGUUUUUUUUGUUUUCAACCAAAGCAAGGAUUUUCUAAAUUUUGGAAUAUCAGUCUGUCAGUAAAGAUUUCUUCUGAGAACAACUCUUAAGACUGAAGAUGUCUUUAAAGAGGCGCCUGCUGUCCAUGUUGUUGUGCUGUGUUUACUGCGUGGCCUCGCUCUUCUGCCUCCAUCCAAACCGCAACAACUGCUUCUCUGCCGGAGCUCGGAAUCUGGUGUCAGUUGUCCAACAGCUUUACCAGCGAGCCAUUCGGCUGCUGCGCACCACUCUGUGAUUCCACACCACUUCCUGUGCCUGAACAAGUAAGGCUGGAUUUCAUCAAGAAUGCCCUCUAGAAGAAGAAACAGAGGAAAUGCAUCCCUAAACUUUCGGACUGCAGAGUUUCCAUCCACUCAGUUUCCCAACUGCCCGUUUUUGUUUAUUAUUGAUAUUUUCCAACUAUAUUUUAAAUGUAGAGGAGAAGAAUACCUAGCCAAUGUCUAUUUUUCUACUGAUGAAGUUUAGCAUUGUGGAUAUUUGCUGUUUGACAUGUGAGUGAUGUGGAAAGGACACCAGCAGUCCUCUUUUAAAAGCGUUUAAGGGGUUUACUGCAGUUUUUUUUAUUUACAUAAAAAAAGCUGGGUAGCCGAAAAUUUGCUGAUUUAAAUUCCGGGAGGCUCUGUGAGUUGUAAUGUUUGAAAUGCAAGCGCAAACUUUCUUCCCUCUGCUAAUAACUACCAAAGAGCUGUUUUUGUGUUCUGUUUCUACUGUAUCCUGUGAUGUAAGUGCUGUCUUCACAGGUUCAAAAUGCAGGAAAAUCCACAAGAAACAGAGGAGCAUGAUGCUCCUGAAAAGGAAAGAGAAUGAUAAAAACAAGACAGUAGAUCAUAAUCAAAACCCAUUGAAUGCAACCUGGACUAACUACUAAAGCUUAAACACUGCAGUAACACUUUGCUCAUUCAUUGCAAAUAUGUGCCACGGUUGUACAAGAAACAUAAGCCUUAGACAUGUUAGCUGAACCAUGUUGCCCUUAUGCCCUUUACUCCUAUUACAUAAGUGAAACUGUAGCUCAACAUUUCAUCAUAUGAAAAAUUUCAGGUGUCAUAUUUUGAAAGGUAAUGUCAUUUGUGCACAGCAUUUUUAUUUGUGUCCCUGAUGGAAGUAUGUUUUCAUGCUGUGCAGCUACCUGAUGAGCAACUCUCAGGUGCUUAAAGCACCAAACAGAUGCAGUUUGAGGGGGGUGGGUACUUUUUUUUUUAAUGCUAAAGUAAUGGGAGUGAAUUUAUUUUGUAACACUUGCAGGUAAUGAAGGUAGUUAGGUUGCAUGGGUAAGUUUAAAUACAACGGGUCAACCAUGCAAACCAACAGCCAUUAGACAAUGCACAAGAGAGGUGAGGAAGAGAGCACAGGCAGAGUCGAGGAGGUGGGCGUAGAUGACUGUCAGGGGUGAUUUUUGGCAGGUGAUCUGAUAUGUCAACCUCAAGCUGCUUCUUCUGGAGCAGCCAGAAGAAGAAGAAAACAAACACUUUAGCAUUAGAGCAGUUAGGUGUGAAAGAAUCCAACAGGAAAUCAUAAUAAAAUAAGAAAGAAAACUUUGCAUCGUAUGUAAAAUCAAUUUCAUUAAGAAAUCGGAAAAAAAUAAAAACUUGGGUUGUUUCAAGUUGCCGAUUUUAUGUUUUAUUGAGAAUGGAGUUUCUCAUCUGUUGCAAACACGCAAGAAAAAAAAAUGCCGAAUAUGCGUUGCCAUACAACUGAGAGCACAAAGAUAAAGGAGUAAGGGUUCAUUAAAGAAAUAUGAUGAUGGAAACGCUAGGGUGUGAUUAAAUAUAUCACAGUUUGAAUGCUGUGGAUGGAUUUUAAUUUAAUGUGCUACCUGAAAAGAUAUUAGAAAACUAUGUACUUUUCUUACUUUUGUAUGACUGCGUGUUUCACACCGUUCAGGGGAAGACCUGUUCCACAGUACA
Long non-coding RNA from Haplochromis burtoni (Burton's mouthbrooder), 2029 nucleotides. RefSeq lists it as uncharacterized. The record is from RefSeq and is a predicted model, not a curated record. Lineage: Eukaryota; Metazoa; Chordata; Actinopteri; Cichliformes; Cichlidae. The transcript is spliced from 3 exons.